CCUACGGGUGGCAGCAGUAGGGAAUCUUCCACAAUGGGCGAAAGCCUGAUGGAGCAACGCCGCGUGGGUGCAGAAGGUCUUCGGAUCGUAAAACCCUGUUGUUAGAGAAGAAAGUGCGUGAGAGUAACUGUUCAUGUUUCGACGGUAUCUAACCAGAAAGCCACGGCUAACUACGUGCCAGCAGCCGCGGUAAUACGUAGGUGGCAAGCGUUAUCCGGAUUGAUUGGGCGUAAAGGGAACGCAGGCGGUCUUUUAAGUCUGAUGUGAAAGUCCGCGGCUCAACCGUGGAAUUGCAGUUGAAACUGGAGGCCUUGAGUGCACACAGGGAUGCCGGAAUUCAUGGUGUAGCGGUGAAAUGCUUAGAUAUCAUGAAGAACUCCGAUCGAGAAGGCAAGUGUCCGGGGUGCAACUGACGCUGAGGCUCGAAAGUGCGGGUAUCAAACAGGAUUAGAUACCCCUGUAGUC
RNAcentral lists this ribosomal RNA (465 nucleotides) under uncultured bacterium. Its description in RNAcentral is "partial 16S ribosomal RNA". It matches the Rfam family "Bacterial small subunit ribosomal RNA", at positions 338 to 795 of the family's 1533-position model. The record is from RNAcentral.